AGCGGGAAGUAGUUUACUACUUUGCCGGCGAGCGGCGGACGGGUGAGUAAUGUCUGGGAAACUGCCUGGUGGAGGGGGAUAACUACUGGAAACGGUAGCUAAUACCGCAUAACGUCUUCGGACCAAAGUGGGGGACCUUCGGGCCUCGCGCCAUCGGAUGUGCCCAGAUGGGAUUAGCUAGUAGGUGGGGUAAUGGCUCACCUAGGCGACGAUCCCUAGCUGGUCUGAGAGGAUGACCAGCCACACUGGAACUGAGACACGGUCCAGACUCCUACGGGAGGCAGCAGUGGGGAAUAUUGCACAAUGGGCGCAAGCCUGAUGCAGCCAUGCCGCGUGUGUGAAGAAGGCCUUCGGGUUGUAAAGCACUUUCAGCGAGGAGGAAGGCCAAUAACUUAAUACGUUGUUGGAUUGACGUUACUCGCAGAAGAAGCACCGGCUAACUCCGUGCCAGCAGCCGCGGUAAUACGGAGGGUGCAAGCGUUAAUCGGAAUUACUGGGCGUAAAGCGCACGCAGGCGGUUUGUUAAGUCAGAUGUGAAAUCCCCGCGCUUAACGUGGGAACUGCAUUUGAAACUGGCAAGCUAGAGUCUUGUAGAGGGGGGUAGAAUUCCAGGUGUAGCGGUGAAAUGCGUAGAGAUCUGGAGGAAUACCGGUGGCGAAGGCGGCCCCCUGGACAAAGACUGACGCUCAGGUGCGAAAGCGUGGGGAGCAAACA
Molecule: ribosomal RNA, 714 nt
Filed under: uncultured bacterium
Lineage: Bacteria
Description: bacterial SSU rRNA
Rfam family: Bacterial small subunit ribosomal RNA
Source: RNAcentral